GGACCCGCACAAGCAGUGGAGUAUGUGGAUUAAUUCGACGCAACGCGAAGAACCUUACCAGGGCUUGACAUCCGACUAACGAGGCAGAGAUGCGUUAGGUGCCCUUCGGGGAAAGUCGAGACAGGUGGUGCAUGGUUGUCGUCAGCUCGUGUCGUGAGAUGUUGGGUUAAGUCCCGCAACGAGCGCAACCCUUAUUGUUAGUUGCUACGGUUCGGCCGAGCACUCUAGCGAGACUGCCGUUGACAAAACGGAGGAAGGUGGGGACGACGUCAAAUCAUCAUGCCCUUUAUGUCCUGGGCUUCACACGUACUACAAUGGCAGUCAUACAGAGGGAUGCAAUACGGCGACGUGGAGCGAAACCCCAAAAGCUGCCUCAGUUCAGAUUGCAGGCUGAAACCCGCCUGCAUGAAGGUGGAAUUGCUAGUAAUCGCAGAUCAGCAUGCUG
RNAcentral lists this ribosomal RNA (445 nucleotides) under uncultured Bacillota bacterium. Its description in RNAcentral is "bacterial SSU rRNA". It matches the Rfam family "Bacterial small subunit ribosomal RNA", at positions 917 to 1359 of the family's 1533-position model. The record is from RNAcentral. Lineage: Bacteria; Bacillati; Bacillota.